RNAcentral lists this transfer RNA (90 nucleotides) under endosymbiont of Seepiophila jonesi. Its description in RNAcentral is "tRNA-Ser". It matches the Rfam family "tRNA". Rfam says of the family: Transfer RNA (tRNA) molecules are approximately 80 nucleotides in length. Lineage: Bacteria; Pseudomonadati; Pseudomonadota; Gammaproteobacteria. The record is from RNAcentral. RNAcentral also lists the same sequence under 2 other names.
GGAGAGGUGCCAGAGUGGCCGAAUGGGCCUGACUCGAAAUCAGGUGAACGCUCGCGCGUUCCGAGGGUUCGAAUCCCUCCCUCUCCGCCA